Molecule: ribosomal RNA, 456 nt
Filed under: uncultured Sphingobacteriales bacterium
Lineage: Bacteria; Pseudomonadati; Bacteroidota; Sphingobacteriia; Sphingobacteriales
Description: bacterial SSU rRNA
Rfam family: Bacterial small subunit ribosomal RNA
Source: RNAcentral
CACAAGCGGUGGAGCAUGUGGUUUAAUUCGAUGAUACGCGAGGAACCUUACCUGGGCUCAAAUGUAUGUUGACGUAUUCUGAAAGGGAUACUUCUUCGGACAAUAUACAAGGUGCUGCAUGGUUGCCGUCAGCUCGUGCCGUGAGGUGUCGGGUUAAGUCCCAUAACGAGCGCAACCCCUAUCAUUAGUUGCCAUCAGGUCAAGCUGGGGACUCUAAUGAAACUGCCUACGCAAGUAGUGAGGAAGGUGGGGAUGACGUCAAAUCAGCACGGCCCUUACGUCCAGGGCUACACACGUGCUACAAUGGUCGGUACAAAGGGUUGCCAAGCCGCGAGGUGGAGCUAAUCCCAUAAAACCGAUCGUAGUCCGGAUCGCAGUCUGCAACUCGACUGCGUGAAGUCGGAAUCGCUAGUAAUCGUGAAUCAGAAUGUCACGGUGAAUACGUUCCCGGGCCUU